This 254-nucleotide ribosomal RNA is filed under the name uncultured bacterium. RNAcentral's name for it is "partial 16S ribosomal RNA". It matches the Rfam family "Bacterial small subunit ribosomal RNA", at positions 524 to 776 of the family's 1533-position model. The record is from RNAcentral.
UACGUAGGGCGCAAGCGUUGUCCGGAAUUAUUGGGCGUAAAGAGCUCGUAGGCGGUCUGUCACGUCUGCCGUGAAAACCCGAGGCUUAACCUCGUGGCUUGCGGUGGAUACGGGCAGACUAGAGGUAGGUAGGGGAGAAUGGAAUUCCCGGUGUAGCGGUGAAAUGCGCAGAUAUCAGGAGGAACACCGGUGGCGAAGGCGGGUCUCUGGGCCGAAACUGACGCUGAGGAGCGAAAGCGUGGGGAGCGAACAGG